This 999-nucleotide ribosomal RNA is filed under the name uncultured bacterium. RNAcentral describes it as "bacterial SSU rRNA". It matches the Rfam family "Bacterial small subunit ribosomal RNA", at positions 8 to 1017 of the family's 1533-position model. The record is from RNAcentral.
AGAGUUUGAUCAUGGCUCAGAAUGAACGUUGGCGGCGUGGAUUAGGCAUGCAAGUCGAGCGCGAACCCCGCAAGGGGGGAAAGCGGCGAAAGGGACAGUAACACGUAGAUUACCUACCCUCAGGUUCAGGAUAGCUGCGGGAAACUGCAGGUAAUACUGAAUAACGUCUCCGGACCAAAGGUGUGAUUCCGCCGGAGGAUGGGUCUGCGUCCUAUUAGCUUGUUGGUGGGGUAACGGCCUACCAAGGCAAUGAUGGGUAGUGGGUGUGAGAGCACGACCCGCGUCACUGGGACUGAGAUACUGCCCAGACACCUACGGGUGGCUGCAGUCGAGGAUCUUCGGCAAUGGGCGCAAGCCUGACCGAGCGACGCCGCGUGCGGGAUGAAGGCCUUCGGGUUGUAAACCGCUGUCAGAGGGGAUGAAAUACAGGUGGGUUCUCCCAUCUGCUUGACAUAUCCUCAGAGGAAGUACGGGCUAAGUUCGUGCCAGCAGCCGCGGUAAGACGAACCGUACGAACGUUAUUCGGAAUCACUGGGCCUAAAGGGUGCGUAGGCUGCGCAGCAAGUUGGGUGUGAAAUCCCUCGGCUUAACCGAGGAACUGCGCCCAAAACUGCUGUGCUCGAGGGAGAUAGAGGUGAGCGGAACUUAGGGUGGAGCGGUGAAAUGCGUUGAUAUCCUAAGGAACACCGGUGGCGAAAGCGGCUCACUGGAUCUCUUCUGACGCUGAGGCACGAAAGCUAGGGUAGCGAACGGGAUUAGAUACCCCGGUAGUCCUAGCUGUAAACGAUGAGCACUGGGUUGAAGGCCCCCCCAUAGGUUUUCAGCCGCAGCGAAAGUGUUGAGUGCUCCGCCUGGGGAGUAUGGUCGCAAGGCUGAAACUCAAAGGAAUUGACGGGGGCUCACACAAGCGGUGGAGGAUGUGGCUUAAUUCGAGGCUACGCGAAGAACCUUAUCCUAGUCUUGACAUGCACGGAUUAACUCCUUGAAAGAGGAGCCAGG